GAUGAACGCUGGCGGCGUGCCUAAUACAUGCAAGUCGAGCGAACGGACGAGAAGCUUGCUUCUCUGAUGUUAGCGGCGGACGGGUGAGUAACACGUGGAUAACCUACCUAUAAGACUGGGAUAACUUCGGGAAACCGGAGCUAAUACCGGAUAAUAUUUUGAACCGCAUGGUUCAAAAGUGAAAGACGGUCUUGCUGUCACUUAUAGAUGGAUCCGCGCUGCAUUAGCUAGUUGGUAAGGUAACGGCUUACCAAGGCAACGAUGCAUAGCCGACCUGAGAGGGUGGACGGCCACAUUGGGACUGAGACACGGCCCAGACUCCUACGGGAGGCAGCAGUGGGGAAUAUUGCACAAUGGGCGGAAGCCUGAUGCAGCGACGCCGCGUGGGGGAUGACGGCCUUCGGGUUGUAAACUCCUUUCACCAUCGACGAAGGGUUUCUGACGGUAGAUGGAGAAGAAGCACCGGCUAACUACGUG
Molecule: ribosomal RNA, 477 nt
Filed under: uncultured bacterium
Lineage: Bacteria
Description: partial 16S ribosomal RNA
Rfam family: Bacterial small subunit ribosomal RNA
Source: RNAcentral